Triticum dicoccoides is the source of this 675-nucleotide long non-coding RNA. RefSeq lists it as uncharacterized. The record is from RefSeq and is a predicted model, not a curated record. The transcript has 3 exons. NCBI's taxonomy places the organism in Eukaryota, Viridiplantae, Streptophyta, Magnoliopsida, Poales, Poaceae.
CCAUGAAGCCCGGCCCACAGCCCCGCACUCCUCCCCUCGUCCCCAUCUCUCUCCCGCACUCCUCCCUCGUCCCCAUCUCUCUCGCCGCCGCCACCAACAACGCCCGAUCCCAGCGACCUUCGGCGGGAAUCGAGGCGCCCAUCACACCAACGUGACCCCGAUGCUCCGCUAUCCCCUCCUGUCCGGUGAGAUCCGGCGCGCGCGUCCUCCAGCGGCCAAGCGCAGCCGUCUCCCGUUGUUAGGCUUUCGUUCGCUGAUAGAUCCAGCGCCGGCUGGCGGCGAGGGCCGCCAGAUCCGUGACCUGGGAGGCUCCUCCCGUAGGAUAUGGGAGCAGCGCGCCGCACCCUGCAGUCGUCGGUCCGGGACGAGCGCAACAGGUCAAGGACGGUGGCGACAAACGCCGGCGCUCCUCUGCUUCAUCGACCUGGACGGUUUCUACUCCGCCAAAGACGUCUCCUACAGAUCUCGAACAUCAUAUUUGUUGAUCAGCCGACCGGGACUGGGUUUAGCUACAGCUCCGACGACCGUGAUACCCGUCAUGACGAGGCAGGGGUCAGCAAUGACCUCUGUGACUUUCUCCAGCUGUGGGUACUGUGGCUACACAUUGAACUUGAGCUCCUCAACACGGAACACGGCCAACAUUGGAUCCAAGUACGGGAAGCAGAUCAGGAAAGG